UACGUAGGUGGCAAGCGAUACUCGGAAUCACUAGGCGUAAAGCGCAGGUAGGCGGUUUGGUAAGUCUUUUGUGAAAGCUCCCGGCUCAACUGGGAGAGGUCAAGGGAAACUACCGGACUAGAGUGUGGUAGGGGAUACUGGAAUUCCUGGUGUAGCGGUGAAAUGCGUAGAUAUCAGGAGGAAUACCUAUGGCGAAAGCAGGUAUCUGGGCCAUACCUGACACUGAAACACGAAAGCGUGGGUAGCGAAUGGG
This 253-nucleotide ribosomal RNA is filed under the name uncultured bacterium. RNAcentral's name for it is "partial 16S ribosomal RNA". It matches the Rfam family "Bacterial small subunit ribosomal RNA", at positions 524 to 776 of the family's 1533-position model. The record is from RNAcentral.